GGCCAGCAUCAGUUUUCCGGGGCGGAUAAUGGCAGUUAGAAUGUAGCAGUCUCGGCUGUGUUAUAGCUUUCUGCUGGAUACGUCCUNGGGGACUGAGGAACGCAGCGUGCCGUAUGGCNAGGGCUUNGGUNGUUUCACGCUUAGGAUGCUGGUGGAAU
This 158-nucleotide ribosomal RNA is filed under the name Rhodotorula toruloides. RNAcentral describes it as "partial 26S rRNA". The record is from RNAcentral. Lineage: Eukaryota; Fungi; Basidiomycota; Microbotryomycetes; Sporidiobolales; Sporidiobolaceae.